Molecule: small RNA, 110 nt
Filed under: Oryza sativa Japonica Group (Japanese rice)
Lineage: Eukaryota; Viridiplantae; Streptophyta; Magnoliopsida; Poales; Poaceae
Description: sRNA Os09g0358050
Source: RNAcentral
CUAGAAAGUCCAAAAUCUGCUAUUUUAGCUCGUAAGUUUUGACCCAACAGAAUGUUACUAGUCUUCACAUCCCGGUGAAUUAUUGACUUGUUGCAACCCUUGUGCAGAUA